This 84-nucleotide transfer RNA is filed under the name Gammaproteobacteria bacterium RIFCSPHIGHO2_12_FULL_41_20. RNAcentral describes it as "tRNA-Leu". It matches the Rfam family "tRNA". From Rfam's summary of the family: Transfer RNA (tRNA) molecules are approximately 80 nucleotides in length. RNAcentral also lists the same sequence under 1 other name. The record is from RNAcentral. Lineage: Bacteria; Pseudomonadati; Pseudomonadota; Gammaproteobacteria.
GCCGUGGUGGCGGAAUUGGUAGACGCGUCGGUCUCAAAAACCGAUGGUGGCAACACCGUGUCGGUUCGAUCCCGACCCUCGGCA